UACAGAGGUCUCAAGCGUUGUUCGGAAUCAUUGGGCGUAAAGGGUGCGUAGGUGGCUCCGUAAGUCGGGUGUGAAAUUUCGGAGCUUAACUCCGAAACUGCAUUCGAUACUGCGGUGCUUGAGGACUGGAGAGGAGACUGGAAUUCAUGGUGUAGCAGUGAAAUGCGUAGAGAUCAUGAGGAAGACCAGUGGCGAAGGCGGGUCUCUGGACAGUUCCUGACACUGAGGCACGAAGGCCAGGGGAGCAAACGGG
This 253-nucleotide ribosomal RNA is filed under the name uncultured bacterium. RNAcentral describes it as "partial 16S ribosomal RNA". It matches the Rfam family "Bacterial small subunit ribosomal RNA", at positions 524 to 776 of the family's 1533-position model. The record is from RNAcentral.